CUAUAUACCGCCGUCGCAAGCUCACCCUAUGAAGGAAAUAAUAGCAAGCAAGAAGGGCUUCGCCCAGAACGUCAGGUCGAGGUGUAGCAAAUGAAACGGGAAGAAAUGGGCUACAUU
This 117-nucleotide ribosomal RNA is filed under the name Osteoglossum bicirrhosum (silver arawana). RNAcentral describes it as "partial 12S ribosomal RNA". The record is from RNAcentral. Lineage: Eukaryota; Metazoa; Chordata; Actinopteri; Osteoglossiformes; Osteoglossidae.